CAGCAGCCACGGUAAUACGUAGGGUGCAAGCGUUAAUCGGAAUUACUGGGCGUAAAGCGUGCGCAGGCGGUUAUAUAAGUCAGAUGUGAAAUCCCCGGGCUCAACCUGGGAACUGCAUUUGAGACUGUAUGGCUAGAGUGUGUCAGAGGGGGGUAGAAUUCCACGUGUAGCAGUGAAAUGCGUAGAUAUGUGGAGGAAUACCGAUGGCGAAGGCAGCCCCCUGGGAUAACACUGACGCUCAUGCACGAAAGCGUGGGGAGCAAACAGGAUUAGAUACCCGUGUAGUCCCUGUCUCUUAUAC
RNAcentral lists this ribosomal RNA (301 nucleotides) under uncultured bacterium. RNAcentral describes it as "partial 16S ribosomal RNA". It matches the Rfam family "Bacterial small subunit ribosomal RNA", at positions 509 to 807 of the family's 1533-position model. The record is from RNAcentral.